RNAcentral lists this unclassified non-coding RNA (373 nucleotides) under soil metagenome. Its description in RNAcentral is "partial contains 5.8S ribosomal RNA, internal transcribed spacer 2, and large subunit ribosomal RNA". The stretch from base 1 to 121 matches the Rfam family "5.8S ribosomal RNA", at positions 35 to 154 of the family's 154-position model. The record is from RNAcentral.
GAUGAAGAACGUAGCGAAAUGCGAUAAGUAAUGCGAAUUGCAGAAUUCCAGUGAGUCAUCGAAUCUUUGAACGCACAUUGCGCCCUUUGGUAUUCCGAAGGGCAUGCCUGUUCGAGCGUCAUUAUCACCCCUCAAGCCCUCGGCUUGGUGUUGGACGGUUUGGUGGAGGCCCCCUCGGGGGCUCCUGCCCCUCCCAAAGACAGUGACGGCGGCCUCGUUGGACCCCCGGUACACUGAGUUCUUCACGGGACACGUAUCGGACACAUGGGUUUACGGGACACAGUCUGCCUCCCCUCAGGGAGAAUCUUUCUAAGGUUGACCUCGGAUCAGGUAGGGAUACCCGCUGAACUUAAGCAUAUCAAUAAGCGGAGGA